Molecule: transfer RNA, 72 nt
Filed under: Staphylococcus sp.
Lineage: Bacteria; Bacillati; Bacillota; Bacilli; Caryophanales; Staphylococcaceae
Also listed under: 5 other names
Description: tRNA-Glu
Rfam family: tRNA
About the family: Transfer RNA (tRNA) molecules are approximately 80 nucleotides in length.
Source: RNAcentral
GGCCCAUUCGUCUAACGGUUAGGACGCAAGUUUCUCACACUUGAAAUAGCAGUUCGAUUCUGCUAUGGGCUA